AAAAAACCGAAACUUAGGCGGACCCAGCCUCCUGCCGCCUCCACCCCCUCUAGCCACUGUCACGGGCUGGGGAGCAUAGAGUUCAGAGUAUCCUUUGCUUUGUCCCGUGGGCGGGACCUAGGCUGAGGGUGGAGCACCUUAGGGCAGUGGGAUGAUUUUGGAAGCAGAGGGGCCCAGAAUCUCCAGAGGCGGCGUUGGCUUUUUGUGUCCUCCGCGUUCCAGAGCCUUACGCUGCGCACGGAGGCCACGCCGCGCUGCCAAAAGUCAAAGCAACUUUGCUCAUCCCGAAGGAACUAUUGUACUUUUGAGCGAAAGACUCCCCGGCUCCGCUGCCUUGCAGGCAUUCUUCCAGGAGCUUUCUCCCCCUGCAGGCCUGGGCUUUAAAUGCAGUUUGUUUUUUUACCGUGGGAUGCUGCUUUAUUCUUUGCGUUGGCGCCAAGAGCAACAUUCAAGCCCUAUCAAUUAAUUAUGGCCUUUUCGAGAAAAGGGGCUGUCCCUUAGGUCUACAGUUGGUGCUCCUGGCUUUACUGGCAGGCUGUGCUUUUGAAGUUUCUGCGUCCCUGCUCAGCCAGCAUGCUAUAUACAAGCAUGAGCAUGCCAGGAAGCCCAGCUUUGGUUUGGGCUUAGCAAAUAACUUACUUGGCUGCACAGAGACAUCACCAUCGUCUCCUGCACCUAAUUUCCUUCAAAAUUUACCAAACUGUACACUCAAAAUAUGUGUAAUUUACAUGUCAACAAAACUUGCUUCAAAAAGCACACUUCCAGGAUUCACAAAUCAGUGUCAGCCUAGCUUCUAAGUAACAAGUUAAAAAAAUGGCUCUUUUAAAAUCUAUUAUUCCUCACAUUGGAUAACUUGUCUGCUUUAAAAUCUUGAGUUUCUAUAGGUAUAGGAACACAGUUCUUACUUGCAGAGUUUUUCAUUAGCAUAUUCCAUUCAUAUUUUGCUAUUAUAAAAACUGAAGUGGGAGCCGGGCAUGGUGGUGCGUGCCUUUAAUCCCAGCACUCGGGAGGCACAGGCAGGCAGAUUUCUGAGUUCGAGGCCAGCCUGGUCUACAAACCAAAAAACAAAAACAAAAACAAAACAACAGGGUUGGAGAGAUGGCUCAGUGGUUAAGAGCACUAACUGCUCUUCUGAAGGUCCUGAGUUCAAAUCCCAGCAACCACAUGGUGGCUCACAACCAUCCCUAAUGAGACCUGAUGCCCACUUCUGGUGCAUCUGAAGACAGCUACAGUGUACUUAGAUAUAAUAAUAAAUAAAUCUUAAAAAAAAAAAACAACAACAACAAAAAACCCUGAAGUGGGGAGCAUCCCUCUGUUAAAGAACUGCAAAGAUAUAUAACAUCUUGAUUAUAGCAAGUUGAAAUUUUGCAGACACAAAACUAAAUUGUCGUGGGUUCCCUUAAUAGCCAUCCAUUGCCCACCUAAGAUGACAUUGUGACUACCAUGUGAAGUCUUUGGGGAUGUAUUAGAUAUCUAGCUUCCUCCAGCCCCAACAUGAAGCAUGUCAUCCAGCUAGCUGGUAUUUCCAUCACUGUCUUU
Molecule: long non-coding RNA, 1539 nt
Filed under: Mus musculus (house mouse)
Lineage: Eukaryota; Metazoa; Chordata; Mammalia; Rodentia; Muridae
Description: long non-coding RNA chrX:38473661-38475200
Source: RNAcentral